This is a long non-coding RNA of Triticum aestivum (bread wheat), 1489 nucleotides long. RefSeq lists it as uncharacterized. The record is from RefSeq and is a predicted model, not a curated record. NCBI's taxonomy places the organism in Eukaryota, Viridiplantae, Streptophyta, Magnoliopsida, Poales, Poaceae. The transcript is spliced from 4 exons.
GGUACUCCAAUGGGGCGGCUCACUAGUCAGAUUUGCCAUCAACCCCCGCACUUCGUCCCUUGCGUUGGCUGUUGGCUCCACCUUCCACGGCUCCUCAGUUGCUAAAAACGCUAGAACCAACACAACCGCUAGAUCAUGCAGCACCUUCCCUUUGCCCUUCCACUUCUCGAUUCAUAAACGGCUCGGCCUCCCCCGCUCCUUCUUAUAGGUUCGCCCUACUUGCCUUGGUCUUCCCCUCCCCGUGAUUGUCACUUUGUCUCCGUUCCGGCUAUAUGGUAGCUACGCGGCCGCUGGGGAGGUCGGUUACGGCCGGUUCUAGCAGAAUCAGACUAACCGCUGGAACACAUUGGUGCGAGUCGGGCAGGGCCUCAGCCAUGGCAUGGAAGGUUUUUUUGCAUGGAAGGAACACCCAUAUAGGAGUCUGCAGGACCACUGGGUCACCAUGUCAUCGAAUUCCAUUCUUCUUCUUUUGUGACACGGAGUCUGCAAUUCUGCACAUCACUCUUCUCUUAGUCUCCUAAAUAGUCAAGAUGCUUCUCCAUGCAAUGGAAACGAAUCAAUACGAUGAUUCUGGUCUGUAACUGCUGAGGUAGGCGAGCAGGCAACUCCUCCCUGUUGUACAUUCACCGGUCCAAGUUACCAACGCUACGUACUUUCAGUCUUUCAGACAGACUUCACAGAGAUGCUCUUCACUUGGACAUAAGAAUGUGGUAAUAGAGAUCAAUAUAUACACUUGGUUGUUGCUUAUCCAAGCAAUCGGUCCAAAAAACUAAGGAACACUUACCAAGUACUUCAGAUGCAAUUAACACUGAUGGUCAAGGAUAGUUAUCAUGUCUGAUGUGACAAUGGUAACUCAUCCAUCAUUUGUUUGUGAGGCACCACAACUAACAUGAUAAUUUUUCCACUGAUUUUUUGGAGAUGAUUUAGCAAAUUUAGUGUAAAGUUCAGUGAUACGUCUCCAACAUAUCCAUAACUUUUGAUUGUUCCAUGCUACUAUAUUAUCUGUUUUGGAUGUUUUAUAUGCAUUAAUAUGCUAUUUUAUAUGAUUUUUGGGACUAACCUAUUAACCUAGAGCCCAGUGCCAGUUUCUCUUUUUUCCUUGUUUUAGAGUUUCGCCGAAAAGCAAUACCAAACGGAGUCCAAACGGAAUAAAACUUUCGCCAUGAUUUUUCUUGGACCAGAAGACACCCAGGAGACUUGGAGUGCAAGUGAGAGGAGCCUCGAGGUGGCCACAAGGGUGGAGGGCGCGCCCAGGGGGGUGGGGCGCGCCCCCCGACCUUGUGGGCCACUCGUAGCUCCCCUGUCCUAAUUCGUUUGCCUAUAUAUACUCUUAUACCCCAAAAACAUCCAGGGGAGCCACGAAACCACUUUUCCACCGCCGCAACCUUCUGUACCUGUGAGAUCCCAUCUUGGGGUCUUUUCCGGCAUCCUGCCGAAGGGGGAAUCGAUUACGGUAGGCUUCUACAUCAACACCAUUGCCUCUCCGAUG